GUGAAGUCAAUGCAGUAACCUGCCUGUUGUUUUUUUUCUUUUUUUUUCUUUUUACAUAGAAGAAUGAAUAUUCCAAGGAAAAAAUGAAAUGACUGCACAUCUAAUUAAACUGAAGUCACUGCACCAUCCAGGUAUUUAUCGCCAAGGCUUCUGAGUUCCUGUCACACCUUCCAUUUUAAGAUUUGGGCAACCAGAGACCGUGGCAUCACCAAGUCAGCCUCUACUAGUGAGUUUCAUAUGGAGAUCCAGCUGCAAAUUAAACCUACCCUGCCUUAAUAGAACCUGUGGACAGGGGGAUUGCUGAAAAUACUACAUGCCCUCCCUUGAGCUCAAUACUCCUGGAAUGCAGCCAACUCCACUGGCACAGGUUUUGGGGGCUGAUCCCCCUUCACAAUUCUUCUCUUCGUAUCUAUUAAAGAGGAAGAUGGAGCAGACCUUCAGGUCAGCCAAAGAUACAGAGAUUUUUGGUGAGCUUUCUUCCAACUAUAGAAAAUGAAGAUAGUCAUUUCAGGACAUUACAUUAAGAUAAAUUUGAGCGAGAUGGAGAAGAUGGGAUAGACAUAUAGAAUGGCAAGUAGACCAAUUUCAGCUUGUGUUCUAAUUACUGCUUUGUAAGUUUAAGCAGAGAGACU
Molecule: long non-coding RNA, 632 nt
Filed under: Chrysemys picta bellii (western painted turtle)
Lineage: Eukaryota; Metazoa; Chordata; Testudines; Emydidae
Description: lncRNA (ENSCPBG00000025138.1)
Source: RNAcentral